This 274-nucleotide ribosomal RNA is filed under the name uncultured bacterium. RNAcentral describes it as "partial 16S ribosomal RNA". It matches the Rfam family "Bacterial small subunit ribosomal RNA", at positions 523 to 796 of the family's 1533-position model. The record is from RNAcentral.
AUACGGAGGGUGCAAGCGUUAUCCGGAUUCAUUGGGUUUAAAGGGUGCGCAGGCGGACUUGUAAGUCAGUGGUGAAAUCCCGGGGCUCAACCUCGGAACUGCCAUUGAUACUGCAAGUCUUGAGUUUGGUUGAAGUGGGCGGAAUGUAGCAUGUAGCGGUGAAAUGCAUAGAUAUGCUACAGAACACCGAUCGCGAAGGCAGCUCACUAAACCAACACUGACGCUCAGGCACGAAAGCGUGGGGAGCGAACAGGAUUAGAAACCCCAGUAGUCC